AAGCUAUGAUGUGGGCACUUCCUCUAUAGGUCUUUGAAUUUCUCCCAAGCUUCAUACCAACUCUCUUAAUCAUGGUGGGAUAAAGUCAUUAUCUCAUUGCGAAGCAU
Molecule: small nucleolar RNA, 107 nt
Filed under: Jatropha curcas
Lineage: Eukaryota; Viridiplantae; Streptophyta; Magnoliopsida; Malpighiales; Euphorbiaceae
Description: Plant small nucleolar RNA R71
Rfam family: Plant small nucleolar RNA R71
About the family: R71 is a member of the C/D box family of snoRNAs containing the C (UGAUGA) and D (CUGA) box motifs. Multiple nearly identical copies of this snoRNA have been identified in Arabidopsis, and it is thought to function as a 2'-O-ribose methylation guide for 18S ribosomal RNA.
Source: Rfam by way of RNAcentral